GAACGCUGGCGGCGUGCCUAACACAUGCAAGUCGAGCGGUAACAGGUGUAGCAAUACAUGCUGACGAGCGGCGGACGGGUGAGUAACGCUUGGGAAUCUGCCUGAUAGUGGGGGACAACCCGGGGAAACUCGGGCUAAUACCGCAUACGCACUACGGUGGAAAGCCGGGGACCGCAAGGCCUGGCGCUAACAGAUGAGCCCAAGUCGGAUUAGCUAGUUGGUAGGGUAACGGCCUACCAAGGCGACGAUCCGUAACUGGUCUGAGAGGACGACCAGUCACACCGGAACUGAGACACGGUCCGGACUCCUACGGGAGGCAGCAGUGGGGAAUAUUGGACAAUGGGCGAAAGCCUGAUCCAGCGACGCCGCGUGGGUGAAGAAGGCCUGCGGGUUGUAAAGCCCUUUCGGUGGGGAAGAAAAGCCUCGGGCUAAUACCUCGGGGUCUUGACGUAACCCAUAGAAGAAGCACCGGCUAACUCUGUGCCAGCAGCCGCGGUAAUACAGAGGGUGCGAGCGUUAAUCGGAAUUACUGGGCGUAAAGCGCGCGUAGGCGGCUUUGCAAGUCGGGUGUGAAAUCCCCAGGCUUAACCUGGGAACUGCAUUCGAGACUGCAUUGCUAGAGUAUGGGAGAGGGAAGUGGAAUUUCCGGUGUAGCGGUGAAAUGCGUAGAUAUCGGAAGGAACAUCAGUGGCGAAAGCGACUUCCUGGACCAAUACUGACGCUCAUGUGCGAAAGCGUGGGGAGCAAACAGGAUUAGAUACCCUGGUAGUCCACGCCAUAAACGAUGAGAACUGGAUGUCGGGAGGGUCUGCCUCUCGGUGUCGUAGCUAACGCGUUAAGUUCUCCGCCUGGGGAGUACGGCCGCAAGGUUGAAACUCAAAUGAAUUGACGGGG
This 894-nucleotide ribosomal RNA is filed under the name uncultured Gammaproteobacteria bacterium. Its description in RNAcentral is "bacterial SSU rRNA". It matches the Rfam family "Bacterial small subunit ribosomal RNA", at positions 31 to 918 of the family's 1533-position model. The record is from RNAcentral. Lineage: Bacteria; Pseudomonadati; Pseudomonadota; Gammaproteobacteria.